UUUUAUGUAUGUUACAUCAGAACUUUUGACCGGGUAGACCGAUUUCGACAAAUUUUGUUUUAAUCGAAAGGUGGUGUGUGUCAAUUGGUCCCAUUUAAAUUUAUUUGAGAUCUAACAACUACUUUUCGAGUUAUGAUCCAAUAAUGCGUUUUUACUUGACGUUGUAUUAUACCGCAUAACUUUCUACUGGAUGUACCGAUUUUGAUAAUUCUUUUUUUGUUGGAAAGGAGAUAUCCCAAGUUAGUACCAUGAUAAGGAAACCAGGAUCUAAUGAUGGGAUCCCAGAGAAAUCGAGGGAAACUCUUGAAAAUCCGCAAUAACUUUAUACUGGGUGUACCGAUUUUGAUAAUUCUUUUUUUGUUG
RNAcentral lists this unclassified non-coding RNA (363 nucleotides) under Melitaea cinxia (Glanville fritillary). RNAcentral describes it as "misc RNA ENSMCXG00005021399.1". Lineage: Eukaryota; Metazoa; Arthropoda; Insecta; Lepidoptera; Nymphalidae. The record is from RNAcentral.